UUGACAACACUAUAUGCAGUGGUCACAACAUUAUGCGUGUUUCGUUGAUGAAGGUGAUGAUUAGUGAUGGUGAUGGUGAUGAUUGAUGUAUAUGAUGGUGCUGGUUCAGAUUCGGUAAACUCCAUGAUUUAUUUUAACGGAAAUUGCCGAAUCCAGACAAAAUUGAUAAUGUCCCGCAAACAAAAUGAAACAGUUAUUGAAUUCGAGUAAUUUAGGCAAUUUUAUCUUAAACAUUUUUAGAAAAAAAAAUAACGCCUACUAUUGUCUGAAAUUGGACAGACAUUAACUUAUUUAUUUAGGGGUAGUUCAUUCCACGCC
RNAcentral lists this long non-coding RNA (318 nucleotides) under Mytilus galloprovincialis (Mediterranean mussel). The record is from RNAcentral. Lineage: Eukaryota; Metazoa; Mollusca; Bivalvia; Mytilida; Mytilidae.